Molecule: ribosomal RNA, 465 nt
Filed under: uncultured bacterium
Lineage: Bacteria
Description: partial 16S ribosomal RNA
Rfam family: Bacterial small subunit ribosomal RNA
Source: RNAcentral
GACGAACGCUGGCGGCGUGCUUAACACAUGCAAGUCGAACGGAAAGGCCCCUUUGGGGGUACUCGAGUGGCGAACGGGUGAGUAACACGUGAGUAACCUGCCCUUGACUUCGGGAUAACUUCAGGAAACUGGGGCUAAUACCGGAUAGGAAUCCUUGCUGCAUGGUGGGGGUUGGAAAGCUUCGGCGGUUUUGGAUGGACUCGCGGCUUAUCAGCUUGUUGGUGGGGUAGUGGCUUACCAAGGCUUUGACGGGUAGCCGGCCUGAGAGGGCGACCGGCCACAUUGGGACUGAGAUACGGCCCAGACUCCGACGGGAGGCAGCAGUUGGGAAUAUUGCACAAUGGGCGGAAGCCUGAUGCAGCAACGCCGCGUGCGGGAUGACGGCCUUCGGGUUGUAAACCGCUUUCAGCAGGGGCGAAGCUUGUGGUGACGGUACCUGCAGAAGAAGCACCGGCUAACUACGUG